This is a non-coding RNA of Schizosaccharomyces pombe (fission yeast), 776 nucleotides long. NCBI's taxonomy places the organism in Eukaryota, Fungi, Ascomycota, Schizosaccharomycetes, Schizosaccharomycetales, Schizosaccharomycetaceae. The record is from the annotation of a GenBank genome assembly.
AAGUAAAAAGUUCAUAUUGCAAAUUUCCCGUAGACGCAUCUCAACACUCACAGCACAGUAUAAUGAUCUCAUGUAUUAAAUAAAUUAAUUUACAGAAUAAAAAAAAAAGAAUUUUAGCACGUAGCUCCCCUAUAUCACUUUAAAUUUGUUGAUUUUUCUUCAAAAAAUUUACGAAAAGUCCAUUGGGUUGCAUGUUACCUGCUGACGAAGAGAAUAGCACUGUCUAUGGAAAACCAUGCAAUGUUAUUUAGGAAUUUAGGGGCGGAUUGAUAUUGUUUUGAAUACUAAAAAAGAAUUAUAUUUAAGCUCCAUGUUAUUCAAGAGAAGUAUUUGAGCGACAAGCCAUGCGCGGAUAACACCAUUGAGUUUAAAUUACUAUUGCUCGAACGUGGCAAUAUUUUAACUUCUCCAAUUUAUGUUCAGGCCCAAUAAACACGUGCAAAGAAAGCUAUUGAGUAGCAUAGACAAUUAUCUAGGUCAAUCAUAAAUAUGUCUAACUCUGUACAUUAACCAUAAGAAGAAUUAUUCAUCGUUAUAAGGAAUGGCUGCGUUCUCCUUAUUUUUUUACAAUAUUUAUGUAUAUACUUAAUCACGUUAAUAUAGCUUACGAGUAUACUGAUUGCAACAUUGUGUUUCGCUAAAUAUAUAUCGUUUCGCUACGAACUGCUCUUUAGUUUUCAAGGAUGCAAUAAAAUACCGUAAAAGUUCUCCAUUUUACCGGAAUAUUGCUGUAUUCAGAAUGCGCCCCUGGAGAUGUUUAUUGAUAUGUAUACAUA